UUGUCUUUAUGGCAAAUGUGAGAUGCAGUGUAUGGAAUGUCAAAUUUCUAGUAUGAGAAAUUAACGAUUUAAGUCCUUCUUAAAUGAGGCCAUUUACCCAUAGAGGGUGCCAGGCCCGUAUAACGUUAAUGAUUACUAGAUGGCAUUUCCAAAGAGUCGUGUUGCUUGAUAGUGCAGCACUAAGUGGGUGGUAAACUCCAUCUAAAACUAAAUAUAACCAUGAGACCGAUAGUAAACAAGUACCGUGAGGGAAAGUUGAAAAGAACUCUGAAUAGAGAGUUAAAUAGUACGUGAAACUGCUUAGAGGUUAAGCCCGAUGAACCUGAAUAUCCAUUAUAGAAAAUUCAUCAUUAUGAUUUUAAUAUUAAUAAUAUUAUAAUAAUGGUGUGCAUUUUUUCUAUAACGGACAUUGUAAUCUAUUAACAUAAAUAUAUUUAUCAUAAGAUCAAUAUGCGUAAGUUUAUUCAAAUUAUUUUGCUUGCAAUUUAACAUAGAAUAAAUGCUCUUGAUUUGAUAAAGUGUUGAUAGAUUUAUUGUAUAUAGUGCUUAAAUAUUUAUAUUUUAUAAUAGCAUAUUAAUCAUUGAUUUUUAUGUUUAUUAUAUGCACUUAUAUGAUUAACAAUGCGAAAGAUUCAGGAUACCUUCGGGACCCGUCUUGAAACACGGACCAAGGAGUCUAACAUAUUUGCAAGUUAUUGGGUAUCAAAACCUAAUAGCGAAAUUAACAUAACUUUAAUGGGAUUAGUUUUUAGAUUAUUUAUAGUCUAUUAAUUCAAUCCCGGGGCGUUCUAUAUAGUUAUGUAUAAUAAUAUUUAUAUUAUUUAUACCUCUAACUAGAGCGUACCUUGAGCAUAUAUGCUGUGACCCGAAAGAUGGUGAACUAUACUUGAUCAGGUUGAAGUCAGGGGAAACCCUGAUGGAAGACCGAAACAGUUCUGACGUGCAAAUCGA
RNAcentral lists this ribosomal RNA (951 nucleotides) under Sarcophaga subvicina. RNAcentral describes it as "eukaryotic LSU rRNA". It matches the Rfam family "Eukaryotic large subunit ribosomal RNA", at positions 121 to 901 of the family's 3401-position model. The record is from RNAcentral. Lineage: Eukaryota; Metazoa; Arthropoda; Insecta; Diptera; Sarcophagidae.